UGAAGGAGUGGCGAGUACCUGCCAUUAACCUCUGAAUGUGUUCUCUGCAAAUUAGGCCACUCAGCAAUCCAGUGUCAUGACAGAGUUUAGCAUGCUAAGUUCAUGACCUUUUCACAAACAUGUGGCAUUGAACUAAAAAGGAAAAAAGUGGCUCCAUUUUCCUAUUCAGAUUGGGUGCACUAACAGUACUGUUUAGUAACAGCAGGAAGAAAUCAUGUUCCUGAAAGUUGAUGUUGGUAUAUGCGCUACCUGUUCUAUAGCAUGAGGGGUAAUGUUGUUAUCAAUGUUGGCCAUGAAUUGGGAGGCAUCAUACUGGGGCUAAAGCCCAAUUGGAUUGAGUUGAGUUUGUUAUAAAUUUGGCGCCUUAUUCAUAUUAUCAAAAUCCUUGGCUUGGAUGACCUUAAUUUUUUUUUCUUAAGAUAGUUCAUAAUUUUUUUUUCUUAAGAUGGUUCAAUGAGUUCUUGUGACCAAGGGCAUGGUCAUAUACAUAAAUGGCUAGAUAGACCUUGCCUACUCAACCUUGAGUGGGAUGCUUUGUGAAAAUGCUUCCCCAGUUUUAUUGCAAAGGAUACUGGUUAGGUGCUUGAGGUUAGUCUCUGUAGCAGAGGCUCUAUUCCUGUUGAACAUUUUAGGAAUGUAGAGCCAUUUUAAUAAAGUAAUGCCAUGUCCUAGUUUUAGCUGAGCUUUUCCACUACGUUAUGAUGUCUAGGGAAAUGAACUUGGUAGUCCAUGUUUCUUUCCUUUAUUAUCUUUUUUUUUUUUUGGGGGGGGGGGGGGGGGGGGUGGGAUGUAUAAGCUGAUUUUUUAACAGCUGACUUCUAUUGAUUAUUCACUGCAAGUGCAAUUUCAUGUAAAAAGUUGGCUGUUCAAAAUUAAAGCCUUGAUGAGAUGUUGUGGGACGCCAAAAACUUAAUUGAUUAUGGCUAUUAGUUGAUGAAAUUUUUCAACCAGCAUUUCAUUCUACCUAACAUCUUGAUCUACUUUUUUCAGAUGGGAUGAUGCCUAUGAGGUGCUUGAUGAGAUGGUCACAAAUAAGGUG
Molecule: long non-coding RNA, 1039 nt
Filed under: Ricinus communis (castor bean)
Lineage: Eukaryota; Viridiplantae; Streptophyta; Magnoliopsida; Malpighiales; Euphorbiaceae
Description: long non-coding RNA (RCOM_LNC000165)
Source: RNAcentral